UACAGAGGUCCCGAGCGUUGUUCGGAUUCACUGGGCGUAAAGGGCGUGUAGGCGGCUUCGUAAGUCUUGUGUGAAAGCCCUCGGCUCAACCGAGGAAUUGCACGAGAAACUGCGUGGCUCGAGUCCGGGAGAGGAUAGUGGAAUUCCCAGUGUAGCGGUGAAAUGCGUAGAUAUUGGGAGGAACACCGGUGGCGAAGGCGGGCUAUCUGGACCGGUACUGACGCUGAUACGCGAAAGCCAGGGGAGCAAACGGGG
RNAcentral lists this ribosomal RNA (255 nucleotides) under uncultured bacterium. Its description in RNAcentral is "partial 16S ribosomal RNA". It matches the Rfam family "Bacterial small subunit ribosomal RNA", at positions 524 to 777 of the family's 1533-position model. The record is from RNAcentral.